CAAGCAAGACAUUCCUUGGAUCAAUAUUCAAGACUCCUCACAUGAUGCUACAACUACUACUGCUACUCGUACAUGGGGAUGGCAAUUAAUGAUGCUAUAAAUCUAUGAUAAUCCCAGUACACCUGUCUGUAUAGGAUUUGUGAACCUCUUUAAUAAUGCUUACUAUUUAGUAUUCACUAAUAUAAACUGAAGUUUUUAACUUUUAUUAUGUAGUAAUUAAAUGAUG
Molecule: long non-coding RNA, 226 nt
Filed under: Arachis ipaensis
Lineage: Eukaryota; Viridiplantae; Streptophyta; Magnoliopsida; Fabales; Fabaceae
Description: long non-coding RNA (AIPA_LNC000785)
Source: RNAcentral